GACGAGCCACACAAACGUUAUUCGGAAUUACUGGGCUUAAAGGGUGCGUAGGCGGCGCGGAAAGUUGGGUGUGAAAGCCCUCGGCUCAACCGAGGAAUUGCGCCCAAAACUACCGUGCUUGAGGAAGACAGAGGUGAGCGGAACUCAGGGUGGAGCGGUGAAAUGCGUUGAUAUCCUGAGGAGCACCGGUGGCGAAAGCGGCUCACUGGGUCUUUUCUGACGCUGAGGCACGAAAGCUAGGGUAGCGAACGGG
This 253-nucleotide ribosomal RNA is filed under the name uncultured bacterium. Its description in RNAcentral is "partial 16S ribosomal RNA". It matches the Rfam family "Bacterial small subunit ribosomal RNA", at positions 524 to 776 of the family's 1533-position model. The record is from RNAcentral.